GGGAGCCCUUCCCGAGCGCCGCCCGCCCCCGCCCGGUCCCCGUAGCGGCCGGGCCGAGGGGGGCGAGCGGCCCCGGCGGGAGGCGGACGGGGAGCCACUUACUGCGCCGCUGCCCCGCGGGGGGACUUCGCCUCUUCCCGGCUCUUCCCGGCUCGACAGGGGACCCAGCUCCUGCGAUCGCGGCCGCGGCGAGUCGGGACGGCGCAGGGCUCCUCGCAGAUGAAGCCCUUUUUAUCCCAUGGAAAAUGUGUGGUCAGGAAGGAGACGAUAUAUCUGUGGAAACUUGUCCAUGAAGAGGUGGAGCCAUAUAAAUUUCUACAAGUGCUGACUAUUUUCUGAAGUGAAUUUGGAGGAUGUUCCUGAGUGUUCCUAACCCAUAUGGCCUGGGUAUUUUUGCCAUCUACUGUAUAUUGGAUUUUUCUCCUCGGUCAGGUCCUGUACCAAAGCGUUGUGCAAACUUGUGGAUAUGACUUCAGGAAGUUCAAUUGUAAAGUAAAUCGUCAAAUGCCUACAUUGAUAACAGUGGUUCUGGGCCUGAAAGAGAAGGAGACGAGAUGCUUGUGUGCUGUUAAAAUUGAAGCCCUGUUAAAUGGAGUUGCAUAUACUGACAAGUUCUCUUUUGUUUCAAAUCCUCUGGAUGUACAGUUUCUCUCCCGUCAAUGAAAACACAGUGCUGUGAGUUUGGAGAAGCCAUAGAUAAGAGAAACAACAAGGAUAAGAGAAACGAGGCUAAAAUCAAUAACUUCAAGCAAACACACACUUUGAGGACCAGAGCCAAUAAAGAUGGGAGGCAAGUCUUUCUUGGAGUAAAC
RNAcentral lists this long non-coding RNA (812 nucleotides) under Phasianus colchicus (ring-necked pheasant). RNAcentral describes it as "lncRNA (ENSPCLG00000019549.1)". Lineage: Eukaryota; Metazoa; Chordata; Aves; Galliformes; Phasianidae. The record is from RNAcentral.